UUGUGUUUUAAAGUCCCGGAUGGAAGAGACUACCUAGCCGGAGUCUGGGGUUCCUUGUCUGAAGACUCUGGCUGUAGGGACCCCUCUGGGGUUCUAGAUGUAACUGUGGCAUGAAGCCCGGAACCAGAAAGGGCUGUUGUGAAAUGGGGGAGGUUUCAUUUGAGGGAAGAUUGGGGAGAUGUACUGUGGGGUAAAAAUGGGGUCACACUGGGGACAUGGCAUGCAGGAUCUUGAGCCACAAGGAGCAGGAACUUGAGCCAGAACAGAGGGACAGGGUGUGUCCUGGACUCCCUGAGGGGUGUGUGUGUGCUGGAACUGACUUCUCCCUUAAGCUGGACUGGAGGGCUGCAGUACAAGGAGACCUGGGAUGAUCUGUGCCACAGCGAGGACACCUAAGAGAGGGAACAGGACCUGAGCCUGCCCAGCACAGCAGUCAGCAUCCUCCAGUGGAAAUGCCCUUACUGAGGACACCUGGCGGUACAAAAGAGACAGAGUGGAGAAUUCCCCGAAUACAUCUGCAGUGCCAGGCAUCAGAGCAUGAGAACCCAGAACGAUGGAGAAUAUCAAUUCUCUCUUUGUGAUCCCGGGGCUGCCCAGGAGCUGGGCUUUGCGGCAGCUGCCCACUGCCCAGCAUCACAAAUGUCACAUGCCUGAGAAAAGAUCCACAUCGAAAAUUUGAAGUUUGACUUCCAUUGAACGCAUUUCCCUUUCUCAACACCAUAAAGAAAAACAA
Molecule: long non-coding RNA, 733 nt
Organism: Mastomys coucha (southern multimammate mouse)
Lineage: Eukaryota; Metazoa; Chordata; Mammalia; Rodentia; Muridae
Exons: 3
Source: RefSeq, a predicted model, not a curated record